UACAUACAUACAAAAUCUGAUAAAAUAUACAUGAUUUCAUUUUAAUUUUAAACUCAAACAACUGUAUUUUAUUUUAUUCUUGCAUAAAAACUGUCAUGACCCUGUGCCUUCUCGGCUGACUCUGUAUGGCUACAAGUGUUUUUGUUGUGUUGCGUCUCUCUCUCCCCUCCCGCGCACUGCGCUCUACCGGGGCGGAGUCAUGACGGCUCCAGCCACUGGCUCGGACACCUGCAAGCAAUCGACUCAUCACCACGCUCACUUCUUAAGGCGGCUGCUGAGAGUGCUUGAUUAUUGUGUAACACUCAUUUCUCGCCAGCCUGAGGACCGCCGUUUGGUGAGCUAAAAGCCGGAGUCCGAGCUAACCUGAGCUUCAGUGAAGGAUUGUGUACAUAGCCCGUUCCCUUCCCGUGCCUGUGUUCCCCGGAGACCCCCUUCCUGUGCCCCCUCACCUGUAUAUAUCCGCACCUGGUGUCUGUGUGUAAAUAAAUUGUGAACUUUAGUGACAGUCUGCCUCCGAGUCUCUCCUGAGCCUGACAAAAACCAGAAAUGUUGUGUAUUUAAAAUUUCUGUAUUCUUACGUAAUGGAAAAUUUGUAAUGUAUACACUCAUAUAUUUAGCAUCUAAAGGCAAGGGAGAAGAUAGUUCUGGAAAACUUUUGGUGGCAUCUUCGAGUGUUACAGGAAAUGCUGAUACGGUAUCAGAUAAGCAUCUGCUAUCAUCUGAUAAUAGAUGAAAGCAGAGUGGCUGGAAAGGAACAUCUUGAUGCGAAUAUUGACACCGACCAUUACCACCAGAUUCUGUUGGCAUGGUAGCACAGCAGAGCACAACUGAAGAUACAAAAAUGAGUACAUUUUCAAAUGAAUGAAUAACAUGAAAGUUUGACAAAUAGAAUUCAAAGGCAUGAUGAAUGCCUGCAUUUGUUUUUGAUUUGCGUAUUUUCAUUUUUCAUUUCUAUAUGCAAAUAUAAUGUAAUGCAUGUGUUCAUGGAGGGUCUUCUCUGUGAGUGUUACGUUCCCCUAAAAGGGUCCAGGCGAUAAGGGGAAGUAACAAAAAGUGUCUGGGUCAGAAAAAGGAGACAGAGGCAAAAUGGUUAAAUUAAAGAGUUUUAUUACGGUUUCUAUUAAUAACUCAACUAAAAGAGACAGACAAGCCGCUAUCACCAUUUGAAGAAACAAACCAAAACUCAGAUGUCGGUCAGUACUACUGAAAAGUAAGUCAAAGAAAAAAGGGUUAGUCACCAAAUACACUUCUCUCCACCGAGCAGGCGCAAACAGUCACAAAACACAGCUCACUAGCUGCAAACACCAACAUGGCUCUCUGGCACCAAAGCUCACCUUUCUCUGGGCUUAAAUACCUUUAAUUGCUGAUGGGAGGCAGCUGUACAAAAGAAAAAGGUGGCAAGAGAGAUGGUAGGACACGCCCACACAGGCAACUUCAGGAGGCCCUGCUAGGGCCGUAACACCCCCUCCCAUAAAU
This 1476-nucleotide long non-coding RNA is filed under the name Oreochromis niloticus (Nile tilapia). RNAcentral's name for it is "lncRNA (ENSONIG00000032555.1)". Lineage: Eukaryota; Metazoa; Chordata; Actinopteri; Cichliformes; Cichlidae. The record is from RNAcentral.